UACGUAGGGUGCGAGCGUUAAUCGGAAUUACUGGGCGUAAAGCGUGCGCAGGCGGUUUUGUAAGCCAGAUGUGAAAUCCCCGGGCUCAACCUGGGAAUGGCAUUUGGGACUGCAUCGCUGGAGUGCGGCAGAGGGGGAUGGAAUUCCGCGUGUAGCAGUGAAAUGCGUAGAUAUGCGGAGGAACACCGAUGGCGAAGGCAAUCCCCUGGGCCUGCACUGACGCUCAUGCACGAAAGCGUGGGGAGCAAACAGG
Molecule: ribosomal RNA, 253 nt
Filed under: uncultured bacterium
Lineage: Bacteria
Description: partial 16S ribosomal RNA
Rfam family: Bacterial small subunit ribosomal RNA
Source: RNAcentral